Molecule: long non-coding RNA, 2697 nt
Filed under: Pogonomyrmex barbatus (red harvester ant)
Lineage: Eukaryota; Metazoa; Arthropoda; Insecta; Hymenoptera; Formicidae
Description: uncharacterized LOC112552599
Source: RNAcentral
UUGUGGACCGACACUUAUGUAAUACGUAAGUUUUGAGGUCAACUUUCAAGUUCAAUAAAUAGAGGAGUUAGCGAUCUAGUGUAUAGUAUAAAUGGAUGCAUCCAAAAGCAUAACCGCGCAGUGAGUUUUCGAUAUAAUUGGUCCUUGUCCUUAGAUCUUCGUUAAAUCUAAGUAUAGAAACCAAUCAUAAUGAAGAAUCACUGAGCUGUUCACUGCACGGUUGCGCUUCUGGCUGCACCCAAUGUCUAUGGUUGCAUUCCGAUAUUCACUGUAAGUACUGGCAGCACUGCGAAUGCUGUUCCGGGGUGCGUUCCUUUAUUCACUCCGAGUACUAUCAGUAUUACGAAUAGCGUCCCGAUAUAGAGAGCAGUGCACUAUGAAAGUACUGCCACAGUAUAUACAGUAUAUACAGUAGCGUAACUCUCCCAAUUUUAAUGUGUACAAAAUUGAACUGCACAUGUGCGAGCUAAUAUGAAAAGAGGUGUACAUGACUCUCGAGGCUCGUCGAUAAUGAGUAAAGCUUGGGAGUCUAAGAACAUGGAAGAGGUAAAUAUAGAAACUUUAGUGGUUGAGUUACCAGAUGGCGUCGCGCGUGCUAUGAAUUGUGAAAGUUGCAUGUGUGCGUAUGCUGUGGGUGUGUGUGUAUAUGUGUGUGUGUUCCUACACGAUUCUCCUGAAUACUAUGUACGCAUAGGCGCGAAUUAUUUGUAUUAUCACAAGUUUUUUGUACUAGUGGAUGCAAAGUGUACUUUUUUGGUAUGACAGAUUUUCUUUGGCAUAUUUGUCACAGCUGCGUUCUCCGUUGGUUCCUGCUGGAGUCCCCCAGGAGUGUCAUCGUCCUCGUUAGGUAGGUACGCAGGUUUUAAUCUUUCCGUUGACAGGGUUGACUCGGUUGUUGACACUACAUAUAUGUUCGUCCUUCCUGUGAACUACUGCGUGGAGUUUGGUAUAUGACUGUUGGAAUUUUCGGACGCCGUCUUCUUUCACAAAUAUGUGCGUAGCCUGGUCCAAGUUUGGAUGUUUGAAGACUGCUCGUUUACUGUGAUAAAGUUGUCGGUUGUGGACAAAGUUGUCGAAUGCGCUCGCGUAACAUCAUAAUGAAUGUUUCAGUGUCUUCGAUUGGAUCCAGAUUUUCUAGGAAUUCUCCAGGUACUCUUAGUGGUGCGCCGUAUACCAGUUCGGCUGGAGAGCAAUUUAAGUCUUUCUUAAGGCAAGUACGAAGGCCCAACAUCACUGUGGGUAGGAUGUCUAGCCAUUUGCGUCCGUCAUCGUGGCACAUUAUGGCGGUUUUUAAUGUGCGGUGUCAUCUCUCCACUAUUCCGUUUGAGGCUGGGUGGAUACAGAGAUGUUCUUGUCUUCGCACUGCCCAAGAAUUUUGAUAAUGCCUGAAAGACGUUAGAUUCAAAUUGUUUCCCUUGGUCAUUCGUGAAGACCGCAGGUGUGCCGAAUCGUGCGAUCCAAUUAUCCACGAAAACUGCAGCGAGCAGCAAAACUGCAGUUUGAGCGUUCAUAUUGGGAAGUAAAAUUGCUUCCAGCCACCUAGAAAAACGAUCUAUUAGCGUUAAGCAAUACUUGUAUCCUCUUACUUCUGGUAGAGGGCCGAUCAGAUCUAAAUGUUUAGUGGAAGCUUGAUUCGGCACUGGGAUCUUUUGGGAUAUGUCUCUGGAUUUUGCUGCAUUGGCAAUGUAAGCACGUCCGUGCUCAGCGACUAUGCGACUUUAUUAAUGUCAGGCCAGACAAACUUUUGUCUAAUUUGAUGGCUGGUAGCUUUGCCGCUGGGUGUAUGGUGUCGAAAACUCUUUUUUUGAGUUUUUCCGGAACAUAAGGCCGGAUCGCUCCUCUAGAACAAUCACAAUAUAAUGGAAGUGUGGUUCCGGGGAGUGUGAAUUCUUUCAAUUCCAAUAUUGUGUCGUUUCUUAAGAGUUGCUGCAUUUGUUCGUCGUUAGCUUGUGCAGUUGCUAGUUCUUUCGUGAUGACUAUCACUGGCAUGUCUAUGGCGUUGAUGCGUGAUAGUGUAUCAAGCACGAUGUUUCCUCCACCGGGUAUGAACUUAAUGUUUAUCGUGAAUUGCGAUAAAGUCCAAUUGUCGAGCUCGGCGUGGAGACGCUUUAUCCAUGCGUUGCCUAAACGCGCUAUAUGAGGAGUUUAUGGUCCGUUUUAAUGAUGAUUGAGCGUCUUAGCUUGAUGCUAGAUCUCUAGUAGUUCACGAUCAUAUGCGCUGUACUUUUUCUGCGUAUCGCUAAGUUUUUUUCGAGAAAAAUGCUAUCGGCGAUAGCUGAUUGUUAUUUACCUGCUCUAGGGAGGCUCCUAUGGCAGUCUGAAGCGUCUAUAGAGAGGAAUAGUAUUGCUUUUUCCAUAGGAUGUGCCAACAUUGUAACGUGUGCCAGUUCAGUUCUGCAGGCUUUAAAGGCAUUUAUGGAUCUUGUUGAUCAAGGCACUGGUCUCUUGUCGUUUCUUUGGCUGUCCUUCAAUAGUUCAUUGAGUGGUGCUUGAUUUGCUGCAGUUUGUUUCAAGUGAUGAUAGUAAUAAUUUAACAUGCCUAGGAAUCUACGGAGUUGGAUUAAUGUUUCAGGUCGUGGGAAAUCUAAUAUGAUUUUUACCUUGCCUGCCAGUAGUUUGAUACCUUCGCUGGUUACUUAGUGUCCCAGGAAUUUUAUCUUAGGUUUAUAUUUUCUAACAGUAAAUAUAAAAUAUAUU